AUUGAACGCUGGCGGCAUGCCUUACACAUGCAAGUCGAACGGCAGCAUGGGAGCAAUCCUGGUGGCGAGUGGCGAACGGGUGAGUAAUAUAUCGGAACGUGCCCAGUCGUGGGGGAUAACGUAGCGAAAGCUACGCUAAUACCGCAUACGAUCUAUGGAUGAAAGCGGGGGAUCGCAAGACCUCGCGCGAUUGGAGCGGCCGAUAUCAGAUUAGGUAGUUGGUGAGGUAAAGGACGUCACCAAGCCGACGAUCUGUAGCUGGUCUGAGAGGAC
This 273-nucleotide ribosomal RNA is filed under the name uncultured bacterium. Its description in RNAcentral is "partial 16S ribosomal RNA". It matches the Rfam family "Bacterial small subunit ribosomal RNA", at positions 30 to 301 of the family's 1533-position model. The record is from RNAcentral.